This is a long non-coding RNA of Piliocolobus tephrosceles (Ugandan red Colobus), 2831 nucleotides long. RefSeq lists it as uncharacterized. The transcript is spliced from 2 exons. Lineage: Eukaryota; Metazoa; Chordata; Mammalia; Primates; Cercopithecidae. The record is from RefSeq and is a predicted model, not a curated record.
CGCACGCGGACUCCAGGACUACAGCGCCCACAAGGCGGCGCGGCGGGCGCGCGGCUGCGGGGAGGGCGGGCCCGUCCCCACUGAACGCGCCUUGAGGGCGGGGCCUCGCGCGUGGCGGGGCGCAGCUGCAGGAGCGUCCCCAGGGGGCAUCCUCCCACCUACGGCAGCGCCCGCCCACUGCCCUCUCCCCGCCCGGGUCACGAGGCCCCUCGUGCUGCGGCCCUGCCCCUGGGGCGGCCACCUGACCCCGACCGCCCCUGGGGCCCCCACCCCCGCCGGCGUCAGCAUCCUGGGGCGCCAUGCGCGGAAGUGUCGGUCCCUCGGGCGGGCACCCUGCCAUCCCUCUCCCCGCGUUCUUUCCACCCCCAGUCCCCCCCUUAGUCCCCCUCCCUAGCCCCCCUCCCGACCUCCACCUCCUGGACGAGGCCUUGUGCGUUCUUUUUUGCACCGUUAAACACCUGCCUUCCCGGCCGGAUCCCGGAGCACGGCGGGCCCACGCGCCCUCAGGGGUGGCCCUGGGCCGCCUUCCUGGGGCUCCAACAGGGACACGCACAGCCUGCUCUUGGGGACUGCACGGCCCCGAAUCCGGCGCCCCCAGGACCCCCGCCGCCCGCCCUCCUGCCUGACGGUGACCCCCACCGGCUUGUACGAAGGAGCAAGCCGGAUCCCGGACGCAGCCCGGGGCCACCAGUCCCCAUCCCCGCAGGGAGAGCCCGGGGAAGACCCGCGCAGGCCUGGCAGCUCAAGACUGCGGGUCCCAGGUGAGCGGUGAGUCUGGAGCAGCGCCCCUGGAAUGCACCCCUUCCCGGUUGUAGACGACACAGUCCACGACCUGCCUUCUGGUGUGAGGGGUGCCCUGGCUCUCCUGCCCACCAGCCGGGCAGCCCCACUGGGAAGCCGGCACAGCGCCCUUGCCCUAAAUGGCCGCCUGCCCAAAGCUCCGGCCUGGGCCUUCUUUCCGGAGUCCACACGAACAAAUUUCAAAGGAACUUAAAAAGGAUUUGUUGGCUGGAAACAGAGGAUCUGGGGUAAGUUGCAGAAUUUAAGGGAGCACUACAGGAUGGAGCGCCUCGCCUGGAGGGACUCCCUGCUUGGUGGGAGCCCAGGCUGUCUCCCCAGUACUGGCCUUCUCCACGGGCGGGCAGAGCCUGGCCCUGCUGGAAGACAGAAGGGGCAACCCCAAGGAGGAGGAGGAGGCCUUCCUUCCCUCCAGGCAAAGAGGAGCCGGCCAUGGGGCCAGCUCUCCAGGGCAGUGUGCUCCCUUUACGCGCAAGACAGGCCAGGAAGCCCAGAGGAAGCGGGGAUGAACAGCAGCGGGGUCCUAGACCGCUUCCCACAGAAGGUUGGCUCCCACCCCCUUCCCGCCUGGAAACAGCAAGGCAAGGAGCCACAGCCCGAAGGGGACCCCACAGGACCCACAAAGGCCAGUCCCUCACCUGUCUCUCCAGCCAGGUGGAGCCAAGCGAACCUUCCCCUGCCUGCGAGGGGCCGGCCCAAGCUGUCCUCCGGUCCACCUGUGUGGCAGGAGUCCUGGGCGUUCCCCAGCCACACAAGGCCCAGGUUUCCUGCAGGAGCUGCUUCGGAGUAGGGGGGUGGGGCUGCAGCCACAAACCGCACGUGGCCAUUAUAAUCUGGAGGCAGCUGCUCUGAGGGAGGAGCCAGGAGACUGGUGAAGACCUUACAGAAACCUCCAUUGAGGCUUCGCUGCGAGGAGUGGCCACAGACAAAAGGGUGUGGGCUUCCAGAGGGCUCCACCCAAAAUAGAGACUCACAAAAGCAGGUGCCUUGGGAGUGACACUGGCAUCUGGGAAUGGAUCCUGUGCUUGGGGCCUCAUCAGGCUCCAGCGGUCCCCGUCCUUGCGUAUUUCGUCAUUAGUUUGUCAAAUAGUUAAGUGCCUGAGCGUUAGAGAUGGGAGGGAGAGCUGGUUCCUGGGUGAAGCCCUGGGCUGGAGGGAUCAGCAGGGGCCCAGCAGUGUGGAUCCCAGCCCUCCAGCCUGUAGGCUCCAGCCAUAUACAGUGAUGUCUGGGGGCUGCAGGCCACAGACACCCCUUCCCCUCCUGGAGGGGCUCAGGUGGGCUCUGCAGCCCACCCCACAGCAGUGACCCAUCCCCAGCUCCUGGGCCCCCACUCCUCAGCAGCCUUAGCACCCAUAGUCCAGGCCCAAGAAAUCUCGGCCAGAGAAUGAGGACCCUGCCCACCCACUGCCUUCUGAGACCAACCAGCCAAUCCUCGGCCUCGGCUGGAGAGACCCAGGGCUGUCCCUGUGGUUAAGUUACCCGUCAGCAUCAGGGAGGCAGUGGCAUUCGAGCAGCCCUUUCCCUCAGCUGGUGCUGUUGUGGCUGCUGUGGCUCUGGAAGCGAGGCUUGGACCAAAUGCUAACACAUGGACACAUGCACAGAGAUACAGAUCCACGCAGACGUGCAGAGACGUGCACACACAGAUGGACACACAUGCACAGACACGCGCACACACUGAUGUGGUUUGGAUUCUUUGUUCCCCCCAAAUCUCAUGUUGGAAUGUGAUUCCGUGGUGGAAGUGGGGCCUGGUGGGAGGUGUUGGAUCAUGAGGGCGGAUCUGUCAUGAAUGGCUUAGCACCUUGGUGAUGGGUGAGUUCUUGUUCAGUUAGCUCACUCGAGAGUGGAUUGUUUAAAAGAGUCUGGGAACUCCCCUUGUCCUUCCCCUCCUCCCACUCUUGCUGUGUGAUACUGGCUCCCUGUCACCUUCCACCAUGAGUGGAAGCUUCCUGAGGCCUCACAGGAGCAGAUGCUGGCACUGUGCUUCCUGUACAGCCUGCAGAACCGUGAGCCAAUUAAACCUCUUUUCUGGAUAA